AAAUCAAGGGCUUAGAUCUCUUUAUUUUCCCAAGUCAUCAAAUCUCAACCCUUAAUCCCCAAAAUAAUCCGAAACACCACUGUGAGGAGCUCAACGCCGUCAGCCUCACCGUAAUCCGCCGUGAAACUUCCCCGGAGCCCAACCCGCCACCGCCAUCUUCUUUUCCACCCCUUUUGGUAAGUUUCCUCUUCCCUUUAUUCUCUCUAUUGUUCCCCUUAUUUUCUUCCCCCAAAACCCUAAUUCUACAGUACUUGAAUUCGGUUCUGCAUUCAUGUUAAUUUCAAGGUUAUUUGAUUUCUCAAUGAGUACUGUUAUUUUUCUCAAUAAGCUAUUUACUAUAAGUUCAUAUACUAUAAGCUAGCUUAUCAGCUUUCCGCUAUUGCUGCAUAAAUGUUGUUAAGGAUGAUGAGCUAAUGAUGGAAACUUAGGUACUUAAUAGUUGUUAAUAAUUGGAAAAUAUACUGCAGAAUUGGCAAUUCAUAUUAGUAAAGUAAGAUAUCAACGGUUAAGGUCGUAAUGAAUUUAGUACAGAACAAUGAUAGGUAUCAAUGUUAAAAUAGUGAUUGCAUAGAGUAGUAACUAUUGAGUGUGCCGAUGAUUUGUGAUGCCAUGGAAAGUAAAAUCUUUAUUUGUUAUAGGAUAGUUGUUAGAAUAUAAGAAAAACUCUUCUAAUAUCAAUGUUAGACUCUGAAGCACAGGUACUCCUAAAUUGGUGAAGUAACUGUAUCGUAUCGGGUACAUACCAGUACAGGGUACAUGUACUGUAGUCGUACCAUACGUACCAGACCUACCCAUUUUUAGUUAGUUGAUUCACGUUAGUGGAUACAACGAAAAGGUGCAGGUCGUUGAAAUAUAGUAGAAGUCAUUUUGGUUUUUUAUUGUAUUUCAAUUGUCUCUCUUGCUUUUGAUGAAAAUAGGGAGGCCGUGAACAAAACAAGUGAAUCUCUGAAGCAUGACGAUAGAAGUGUGGUUAAGUACAUGGUUAAAAUAUGAAUAGUAUUAUACUAUUUUUAUUAUAAUUGGAUUUUUUUUUUUCGCAGCAUGUUUCUACAACAACAAUGGUAGAGUAAUUCACUGAAAAAGAU
Molecule: long non-coding RNA, 1085 nt
Filed under: Medicago truncatula (barrel medic)
Lineage: Eukaryota; Viridiplantae; Streptophyta; Magnoliopsida; Fabales; Fabaceae
Description: long non-coding RNA (MTRU_LNC003414)
Source: RNAcentral